Molecule: non-coding RNA, 10199 nt
Organism: Oryctolagus cuniculus (rabbit)
Lineage: Eukaryota; Metazoa; Chordata; Mammalia; Lagomorpha; Leporidae
Source: RefSeq, a predicted model, not a curated record
AUUGUAUUAUUAUGGAUGAAAUUGGUUUAGAACAUAAAAACAGAAUUGAUAUUUCACCCUUGAAUAAGGCAGAAGAUAAUAUAUGCAGGAAAGUUUUUCCAAAGCAUGUCUGAGUAUAUACCUUUGAAUUAUACUGGAAAACAUGUCAUUCCAUUCAGAACUCCAAAUUAAGAUGCACUAUUUUUUGCUGAAGGCUAUUUUAAAUUAGGCUAAUAAAUUGCUACUCUCUGCCUUGCGUGAUAAUGCAUUACAUUAUCUACUGAUGUACAUGUAUUGUUUGACUCUAAUGGUGUGGAAAUUAAAUGUUAGACAUGGGCCAGAUGUUCCUAUAGAUGAAUAUGAAGUAUGACUCGGGCAUAACUAUGUCUCAUCGGGACAGAGAGCAAGAAUGCAACAACCAACAACAGUAAUAACCACUCAUAAUUGUUCUCUGCCUCUAGUUUCUAGCAAGAACCAACAUUGGGCAAACCUAGAGUCCCUUGGAUUCCCUGUCUUUGAAGAAUGUUUGCACCUGUUCAUGAGGAAAGAAAUUUUAUUCCCCAAAGUACAGAAUAAAAUAAAAUUCUGAGUAUAGAACUACCUGGAGGGGUACCCAGACAUGGUCUGUGCUGAAGGAUGUAGGAUGUGGACUUCCAGAGGCUUUGAGGUGCUUGAUUAAAAAGGUGGAGAAGCAAAUCUAUGGAUGUGUUCAAUACUAUCUGAGAACUCUGGAGAGAGACAAAUGUGACUCAGUGAAACCAUAGGUCACAGCAAGGAGACAAUCAGACAUCUGCAAACUAUAAAGAGGGCCUUCACCAAGAACUGAAGCCACUGCCAUCGAGUGAAAGAAAGAACUAUCUCGGCCAGCGCCAUGGCUCACUAGGUUGAUCCUCUGCCUGCGGCGCCGGCACUCCGGGUUCUAGUCCCAAUCAGGGCGUCGGUUCUGUCCUGGUUGCUCCUCUUCCAGUCCAGUUCUCUGCUGUGGCCAGGGAAGGCAGUGGAGGAUGGCCUAGGUGCUUGGGCCCUGCACCCGAAUGGGAGACCAGGAGGAAGCAUCUGGAUCCUGGCUUCAGAUCGGCGCAGCGCGCCGGCCGCAACGCGCCAGCCAUAGCGGCCACUUGGGGGGAACCAAUGGAAAAAGGAAGACCUUUCUCUCUGUCUCUCUUUCUCACUGUCUAACUCUCCCUGGGGGGGGGGGGGACUAUCUCUUGGCAAAGCUACCCAAGUGUAUGGUAUUUUGUUAUAACAGCCUCAGCUAAGACAAAGUGGAAUGCUAUUUGAGAAAUGGUGAUAGGUAGAUAGGGAGGGAAGCAGGAGGGAGAGAAAGAGAGAGACAGAGAAGGAAAGUGGGAAGGGAAGGGGAGAAAAGAGAAGAUGCCUCAUAAAGUCACUUAAAGGAGUGCUCAGUAAUAGUUAAGAUGAGCUAGAAAAAGUGUAAGUGGUAGAGAUGAAGAUGAUAAUGAUAACAACUUGUCUGUUCUUUCAACCGAUCCCUGCAAAGAACUUACUGAAGGACACUACACUAGUUCUUUAGGAAGCAAACUUAAGUACCACCCUUAUCUGAUAAAGAUAUGUUAUGUGUUGUAUUUUUUUUUUUUGGUGAAUUAUGUAUAUCUAUUAAAAGAGUUGUAGUAGAUGCCUUGGGAAUUCUGAAGGGAGAUAUUACUUCCAACUGGGAGAUAUCAGAUGUAUUAAUUUAUAUAGUAGGUAACAUUUUGUCUGGGGCUUGAAAACAGACAGAAUUUUCUUAGGGAAAGACUGCUGUGGGGGCAAUUCCCCAUGAGAUGAGUCACAUCCCUAGAGCAGUGGGUCCCUUGUAGGAACCUAAGGCACCAUCUGGCGGAGCUGUGGAGAUUUCAGUGAAGGCCCUAUUUGUGGAGGUCAUGCACAAGGGACCGUGAGAAGUCACACCCAGGAAGGAGCAUGCUCGGAGCUGGUGAAGACUGGAGCCAUGGAGAAAGAGCUGCCUGAUGGAGUUGUAAUCCAGGAGUGAUGCAGCCACUUCAAGAGCCAUGAUGCUGACACAGUCGGGGACAGCAGGAAAAAUGCAGGCCUCCUUAUGCCCAUGCUCCAACCUCCAACUUAGCCUUUCGUCAGCUGAUUCCAACCAGAAACAAGGGUGGCAGGGAGUCCAUAGACGCAAUCACUAUGGACAGCCUCUGCAAGUAGAAAAUGGACUAGGGUAGACACCCAAUGGAGACUAAACACUGUAGCUACUGUGAUGGAGGGGAAUAAAAUGCAUUUGAUAAAAAAUUCAUUUUGGCUAGAAUAAGUGAUACGUGAGGAUGAGAAGUCAUAAAUGCACUUAUACAAGUAGCCAUUGAAAAUGCUUGGGAAGAAUGACAAGGGAAAGGGGAGAGAAAACCACUUGUAAACCGAGUACUUAACUCAUUAGGGAAUUCCGGUGCCUUUCUAGGAAAAAAUUACAGAUAAAACCAACAAGGAUGCAGAUAAAUGAUGUCACAAUAUAAGAGAUCUUACAAGAGACAAGCUAGUUUUUAGAAAUGUUAAUGUAACAGAGGCCAAGAAGAGGCAUUAGGGAGAAAGAAGUGCAAUAGUCCCUCUGUACCUUAAGGGGACUAGUUGCAGGAACCUUCCUCUUCCAGCCUCAAAUAUCAAAAUCUGCAUUCUCAAGGCCCUACUAUAAAAUGGUAUAAUAUUUGAUUAUAACAUAUCCUCAUCCUCCAUAUAAUUUAAAUCAUCUGCAGACUAUUUAUAAUGGCUGUUACAAUGUAAAUGCUAUGUAUGUAAUUGUGAUACUGUAUUGUUUUAGGAAUAAUAGCAAGGAAAAAAGUCUGCACAUGUUUGGUACAGGUACAAUUUUUUUUCUGAAUAUUUUUCAAUUUGAGAGGCAGAAAAAGACAGACACAGAGAGACAGAAAUAAAAUGUCCCAUCCACUGGUUCACUCCCCAAAUGCCUACAACAGCUGAGGCUGAGCCCAGACGAGUCAGGAGUCAGGUCUCCCACAUGGGCGGAAGUGCCUUUAUAUAUUAAUCGCUGUGAGAAUUCUGUACACAGGAAAACCAGACACAAGACUUUACUAAGUUUACAGUCUUAAAGAGAAACUUUGACAUUUGGUUUUAGAAGACUAGGAAGAAUGGCUUUCAGGAGGGACAUGAGAAGUUGUUAAUUGCACCCACUGAAGUGUGUUGUAGCUAUCUUACCCAGUCUCUCAGCCUCAUGGCCUAGUAAGUAAGUUUCUUGAAUCCCACAUUGGAAUAUAUUCAUUCCAUUCCUAGCUCUGGCUCCUAACUCCAGCUUCCCACUGAUGCAGACACUGCAAGAGAGCAGUGCUGGCUUAAGGAAUUCACAUAUGUGGGAGAUCUGGAUUCAGUUCUCAGCCCCUGACUUCAGCCAUGGCCCAGCCCUAGAGAUUGCAAGCGUUGGUGAGUGAACUAGUACAGGGGAGUUCAGGCUCUUUGUCUCUCUGAUUCUUAAAUACAUAUUUUCAAGUUAAAAUGUGGGGCAUGCGUUGUGGCAUAGUGGAUCAAUCUACCACCAGUGAUGCCAGCAUCUCAUAUGGGUGUUGGUUCAUGUCCCAGCUGCUCCACUUCUCUGUCCAGCUCCCUGCUAAUUGCCUAGGAAAAGCAGUGGAAGAUGGCUCAAGUGUUUAGGCCCCUGCAGUCACAUGGGAGACCUAAAUGAAGCUCCUGGAUCUUGGCUUCAGUCUGGCCAAGGGAUGGUCAUUGCAGCCAUCUGGGGAAUAAACCAGUGUAUGAAAGAUCUAUUCUCUCUCUCUCUCUCUCUCUCUCCCUAUCUCUCUUUUCUCCCUCUUUGCAAUUCUCACUUUCAAAAUAAAUAUUUUUUAAAAAAAGGAAUGCCAUAAUGGCUCUGUGUAUAACACAGAAAUCAACAAAUGCUACAAAUCAGGGUUCCCUGUCCUCAAAGCCAGCUGUUAAACAACUCAGAGCCAGUUGUUAAGCAUUUAGCACUACACAACUGAUCUGCUGCACACUCAGUUUAAAAACAGGUUAUUCAUUUAGCAAUGAGCAUGGCACUGUGUGAGAUCAUUAUGAUGACCUUCACCCUCUUUUCCAGUGAUCAGGGGUGAAUGUGAAUUAAAUAGGUACAGGCUUGCUCCUAUUGAAAAGUCCAGAAUGAAUGGCUGUUCAUUAUACUAACUAUAUAAGGGUACUUCAAAAAGUUUAGAAAAUUGGAAUUAAAAGAUAUAUAUAAAAUCCAUAAGUAUUAAAAUCCAUGCUCAACUUUUUCAUACAUUUUCAUGAACUUUGUAUAGAAUCCUCAUGCACAUGAAUUUCAUUUUUUUACACCAAAUAAGCUUACUUUUAAAUUUCAUUUUCCACAAACAUUUCGAAGAACCCUCAUUUUAUGUUAAUCAAUUAGAGGGUAUUCUGAAUGAUGCAAUCUGGAAGAAGCUGAGGAACUGAAAAUAAAUAGCAAUGUUUCAGAAAAAUUCAGUGAGAAGAAAAUGAAUCCAUUCCUUUGAACCGUAGCAAUUCUUGAUUUAGGUUCAAUAAGUCUUACAAGUUGAAGCCGGUGCUCUCCUCCUGUUUGCACUCACUGCAAGGAAUGAAAAUAUACACCACCCACCUGAAACCUGUCAUGCUCACCUGUGCUGCUUCAGAAACCCUUUCUAUUGCAUCUGAAGUGGCUGCUAAAAAUUGCCAGAACUUGUGUGUCUUUUCAUUUUUGGAGAAAAGAAAUAUUCUCAAUGCCUAAUUGCCACUCUUCUCACCUUCAACAGGGGUCAAAUUAAUUCUAUUGCUGAAUAAAGAAAAUUUUAUUCAAAGAAUACAAAAUGAGAGCAAUCAGUUCUGUCUUUCUCUUCAUUUUCUCCUUCCAAUCUUUUCUGCUUAACUGCUUUAAUUUUUUUUUCCUAGCUGAAGUAUUUUCAGUCAUAUGUGCAUCAUUUUGUAGGGACUAUAAGGCAUAAGUAGUUUAAUAAGUGGGGAUUUACCUAUUUAAUCAUAUUGCUCACAUAAUAGAGUCAUUCAGCACUCAUUCAAUGACAUUAAACACUUGUGAUAUGUUAGACACUGUUCUAGUUAUCUUUUAAAAAAAUAUUUAUUUGAGAGGCAGAGCGAGAACAAGAGUGGGGAGGGUGGGCAUAGGGAGACAGGGAGAGAGACAGAGAUCUUCCGUCAGCUGGUUCACUCCCCAGCUGGCCUCAAUGGCUGGACCUGGGCCUAUCUGAAGCCAGGAGCCAGGAGCUUCUUCCAGGGCUCCCACAUGAGUGCAGGGGUCCAAGCUCUUGGGGAAUCCUCUGCCACACUCUCAGGCACAUUAGCAGAGAGUUGGAAUGGAAGUAGAGCAGCCAGGACAUAAAUCAGUACCCAUAUCGGGUAUUGGAGAUGCAGGCAGCAGCUUCACCCACUAUGCCACAGUGCUGACCCCUGUUCUGGUCUCUUAUAUGACACACAAUAAUGGCUCAUAUGGUGCAUUCUGAAACAGAGCAGGUACAACCAUCAGACAUCUAAGUCCCAUCUGAUUUAGUCCUGGUCCAGCUCUGGCUAUUGCAGGCAUCUGGGGAGUGAAACAGGGAAUGGAUGAUUUUUGUCUAUCUCUUUGUCUACCUCUCUUUCUGCCUUUCAGACCAUAAAUAAAUAAAUGAAUGAAUAAAUAAAUAAAUUUUACACUAGCUUAAAAACAUUUUGAAAAAGAAAGUGUCAAUUUUUACUGCUUAUAAUAUUUCAAUUUCUUGAGGAAAGUCCUAGGCAGAGGCUCAGUGAAGUUAUCAGGACUCAUAUGUGCCUUCACAGAAAAUGAUGAGGGGGAGGUGGUUUUAGGAUAAAAAAAAAUAAAAAAUAAACCUGAAAUAUAGUCUUUGCAGAAGAUCCGCGGGGGAGUCGAGGGUAACACAGGAGUGGUGUGGGGAUGGCUUACAGAGGGAGAGGCUUAUAUUCUCAUCAGACACAACCUGCUUCACUUAGCAGACAUUCAGAAUCACAUGAGCCAGAGAGAACUUUCUUUCUUUCUUGUUGAAUGACCUAGAGGGAGAUGGCCAGGGCCAGCUUCAUGAGUCCAUCCAAAAACUCAGCUCAUCCAUCCAUAGUCCUGGAGAGGUGCCAGGAAUGUCAUCAUUACUAGUGAUGGAGAAUUUCCAAACAUUGCUGCACAUGUGGUUUUGGUCAAGUCGGCUCUGCAGAGACCCACUGCCUCUCUACCAGGUAACAUCUUGGUAUACGCUUCAGGUUCCUACUUCACAUCCAAUAGGCAGUAACACGGAUACCAUGCAUCCCACAAAGCUCUGACAGGCUCUACUAUACACCUGUAAUUUGUUUUGCGAAAUCAGUGGGGUUCUCUGUGGAUAGGUUGGUCUUUCUCUUUUAGUUACACUAUGGUCUUGAUGUCCUGAAAUAAAGUUGUUCAUCCUACAAUUAUCUAUAAAUUGUUAGAAAAAAAUAAAAUAAACUAAGGUCAGCUUUAGUGUAAAAUCCCUGCUCUCCAUUGCCUGACUGUCUAUUGCCAUAGAUAUGCAGGUUCCAAGAUAAAUCUGAGCGAGAGGACUCAUGCUUUAGGAAGAAUCUCUUCUCCACCCAUACAACUCUGCAUUAAGGUAAGCUCAUUAACUUACGUUCAUUGUGCCCACAAGCAAGCAAGAUCUCAUAUCCUCACUACUUCCCUUUCCCUGAAUAACAUUGUUAGACUAGCCUUUCCCGUUCAGUGAUAAGAUCUCAUCACUUCCAUUUAAACUGAGAUUCAGGUAGACAUAGCACUGGUACAAGGAUGCAGUUUGAGUUAUCACAUUGGAAAUCAUGAUACAUGAAGAACAGAAUAAUAAAUGUGUUCAUUGGAAACCCUCCAUAGCAUGAGGUACACUAUUUAAUAUGCUAAAAUGCCUGGAAUUGUGACAUUUAUAUCAUUUAUAAUAGCCAAUUAUUGCAUACGACAUCCCACUUAAGUGUCAGGUCUGUUGAUUGAAAGUUAUAUUAUGAAUCUAAAGUGGAUUUAAUCUCCUAUGUUGUAAAUGUCAGUGGCAAUGAAUUUUGAAACAAGAAAAAAAUGGAACUUUCAUGAUCUAGUGAUAGUACUCCUUAGUCUCCACUCAAAUGAUUUAAAAACUUAUGUUCAAACAGAAACUUGUACAUGGAUCUUUAAGGAAGCUUUAUUCAUAAUCAUCCCAACUUGAAAGUGAAGAGGAUGUCCUUUAUAGCUUAAUGGAUGAACUGGGGCACAUUUAGACAAUAUGAAAGACAUGGAGGAAAUUUAAGUGCAUAUCAUGAGGUGAGAGGAACCAAUCUAAUAAGGCUACAGAUUGCAUGGUUCCAACUGUGUGAUACUCUGGAAAAGGCAAAACCAUGGAGACAAUCAAAAGAUGACAACUUGUCAGGGUUAUGGGGAGGCAGGGAUGAAUAGGCAGAGCACAAAGGAUUUUUAGGACAAUGGAACUAUUGUGAAGGAUACUACAGUGGUGGAUACCUGUUCUUAAACGUGUGUCCAUACCCAUAGAAACUACAACACCACCAGUGCAUGCUAACAGAAACUAUGGACUUUGGGUGAUAAUGAUGUGUCAGCGUAGGCCAGUUGAUUGUAUAACAAACACUCUAGGAUGUAGGCAAGAGAGAGGCCCAGGAAGAGGGGCAGAGAAUUUGAAAAAGUUCACUGGUUUGAGCUUCUUUUUCAGAGGAUCUUCUGGAAAGCUUAUCUUGCAAUAUUGUACAGCUGCAGCUACAGCACCAGGACAAGGGAAGCUGCAAGAGAUCAAUCAGAAUCAGAUGGAUGAAGACGUAUUUCCGUGAGCAGGAAGGGCUCGCCUGUUCCCCCUUUUCUACAUCUUGCAUGUACAGCACAAGCAGAAAGGACCCCCUCCAUGUAUCCCCCUUUGUGCAUAUUGGGCAAUUCCUUAAGAUUCACUCUAAAUGCCCUGGCAAACUGCUUCUCAGGGAGGCAUCUUCAGGAACUCUUCCUUCCCACUGCCUCCUUUGUCACAGUAAACAAACCUUUUCUUUGAGCCGCUCCAGUUUGAGGCUUAUUAUUCAACAACACCUUAAGCAAACGGAUUUUUUGUGUCCCUGAACAAAGUACCACUCUGGAGGGAAUGUUCUGCAGUGGGGCAGUGGGAAAGGCUGUGACCUUGUGGCGGCAAGAAUAGAUGGAACUCACGGGGCCAGCGCUGUGGCGUGGCAGGUGGAGCUGCUCCCUGCAGCCCUGUGUCCCUUGUGGGUGCAGGUUUGAGUCCCAGCUGCUCUGCUUCCUGUCCAGCUCUCCGCUAUGGCCUGGGAGGGCAAUGGAGGAUGGCCCAAGUCCUUGGGCCCCUGCACUCACAUGGGAGGCCCCAGGUGAAGCUUCUGGCUCCUGGCUUCAGAUCAGCACAGCUCCAGCCGUUUUGGCCAUCUAGGAAGUGAGCCAGCCAAUGGAAGACCUCUCCCCUCUCUCUGCCUCUGCCUCUCUGUGGCUCUGCCUUUCAAAUAAAUAAAAAUCUCUUUUACAAAAUAGAUGGAACUCACUGUAUGUUCCACUCACAUUUGCUGUGAACCUAGAAUUUCUCCAAAAAUAGUCUGUUUAAAAGAGGAAAAGGGUAAAUAGAGCUUUCUUGUAACAAAUGCUAAUAUCUUCAGUGUACUACAGUUUCCAGCAACAUAAAUGCAGCCCUAAAAUCCAUCUGCAAAAAUUUCAAUUUCCAAAUUAAUAUUUGUGUAUGAUACGUGCUAUAGAUGUAGAAUACAGUUUUGUAGAAUGUUCGUGAGUAAUUUUGUGAAGCAAACAAAAGCUUCAGAUCGUCCUUUCUUUGGGAGGAUAGGAAUAUACAUCCCAUUUGUUCCAAAUCUCAGGUAGUAAAUAAUAAUGUCCGUGAGAACAAGGAUGCUUCCAUUAAAGAAGAUGGAAGAGACGACUCUGACAGCAGAGGUAUGCCAAGGUGGGGCAGCUACAUGAGGUUCGUUAUUUCAUUGAAAACUCUAGAACAACAUGGAAUUCAUUACUAUUCAUGAGAAAGAGGUAGGAUUUGAUCUUGCAAACUUGCUUUGUUUUGAAGUCCCUAAUUCUACAGCUACCUAAACUCCCUGGUUGUGGAAAAAAAAUACCAACUCUCUUCAACUUAUUGUUCUGAAUUAUUUAAGAAAAAUGGGCCACUGACCUGAAACAGGGAGAAGUUUAAUCCCCCCACCUCAUAUCCAUGUGUUCCACCUUCACAGAAGUAACCACUUUCAGAAAAUAUCAGGAAAAAGAUUGCAUCUGUACUAAAAAUAUACAGAAUUUUUUUGUCAUUUUUCCUAAACAAUCUAUUUUUAUAAUAACCAUUUACAUCAUAUUUACAUUGUAUAGAUAUUAUACAGAAUCUAGAGGUGUUUUAAAGUAGAUGGGAAGAUCCUAUAGACUACAUGCAAAUAAUGCACCAUUUUAUGUAAGAGAUCUGAGCACUCUCUGAUUUCAUUAUUGACAGAAGUCCUACAACCAAUUGCCCAUAGAUACUGAAAGUCUAGAAGUAGUGUUACAGGAAAAUGGCAGCAGAAAAAUUAUUAUUACCUCGGUUCUUUGCCUCACAUGAAAGAAUUUCCAAGUGGACAAGGCAAAAGCGAUAUUUGAAGGUUUAAAAGCAAGAUUUAUUAGAGUCAAAGACCUUCAGCCAGAGUGGUAUGGAAGGGGGCUCCAAGAGAGGAAAACCCAAAGGACCCCUUGGCAAUGGGGUUUUUAAGUACAAUUUUGAAGGAAAAAGACUUGGCAAUCAGAUUGGCAUUUAGUUACCGGACGGAGACAAAACCCAUCAAAAGUCCUGAUUUACAAUCCUUUAUCUUAUCUGACUUGUUCAUGAUAAAAUAAAAAACCAUACAGAAGAGUGGGAUAGGUAAUUUGUUUUCACAAUAAACUGUGAGUUCAAGUGCAACCUUCACUCCUUUGCUAUUCUCAUGCUAAAUUUGUAGAUAGCAAAGGAAGGAGAAUAUUUUGUUUUUGCUAUAGAUAACCUUUCGGGGAGAAGCAAGAAUUCUAUACCCCAAAUUCCACUGGGACCACUCUGACUGCCUAUUAACCCACCUGACUCCUCACAGUAGGAAGAGACAGUAGAAUAAUCCUCAGGAAAGAGAUGAAUUAAAAAUAAAAAGAGGGGCCGGCAUCGUGGCUCACUAGGUUAAUCCUCCGCCUGCGGUGCAGGUACUCCAGGUUCUAGUCCCAGUUGGGGUGCCGGUUCUGUCCCGGUUGCUCCUCUUCCAGUCCAGCUCUCUGCUGUGGCCCGGGAAGGCAGUGGAGGAUGGCCCAGGUCCUUGGGCCCUGCACCCGCAUGGGAGACCAGGAGGAAUCACCUGGCUCCUGGCUUCGGAUC